GUCGGGGUGGCUCAGCCUGGUGGAGCGCCAGACUCAUAAUCUGGAGGUCGCGGGUUCAAACCCCGCCCCCGACA
Molecule: transfer RNA, 74 nt
Filed under: Thermoplasmata archaeon
Lineage: Archaea; Methanobacteriati; Thermoplasmatota; Thermoplasmata
Also listed under: 1 other name
Description: tRNA-Met
Rfam family: tRNA
About the family: Transfer RNA (tRNA) molecules are approximately 80 nucleotides in length. Their secondary structure includes four short double-helical elements and three loops (D, anti-codon, and T loops).
Source: RNAcentral